Molecule: transfer RNA, 73 nt
Filed under: Xylaria hypoxylon
Lineage: Eukaryota; Fungi; Ascomycota; Sordariomycetes; Xylariales; Xylariaceae
Description: tRNA-Trp
Rfam family: tRNA
About the family: Transfer RNA (tRNA) molecules are approximately 80 nucleotides in length. Their secondary structure includes four short double-helical elements and three loops (D, anti-codon, and T loops).
Source: RNAcentral
UAAGAGUAUAGUUUAAAGGUAAAAUAGGGAGCUUCAACCUCCAAAUUCUCAGUUCGAAUCUGAGUACUCUUGU